Long non-coding RNA from Scomber scombrus (Atlantic mackerel), 2435 nucleotides. RefSeq lists it as uncharacterized. The record is from RefSeq and is a predicted model, not a curated record. Lineage: Eukaryota; Metazoa; Chordata; Actinopteri; Scombriformes; Scombridae. The transcript has 3 exons.
GAGCGCUCCAGCCAGUGAUUCAGAUGCAAACACGUCCACACUCACCAGGAUCUUACGACAGUAACAAAACCAGCGGCUGCCGUCUUCUCCGGUCAGGACGAAGGAGAAGGUCUCACUGAGAACACAUCGACACCAAGGAGAGGGCUUCCAGUCCUGUGAGUCAGGGAAGCAGAACUUGGGAAUGACCUUCAGCUGAUCCUCAGCCUCUCUGGAGAGCCGGGACGACUUUUCAAACUGAAACAGAGGAACUCAGUUAAGCACAGCAGCGGUUCUCUAAACCUUGAAGUGGUUCCAGGGGAGUAGGUGUUUCCAGCGGAGCCUUUUCUCAGCGACACCACCACGAAGAUCUGGAAAAGCUGCUGCUGCUGCAGCUGGAUUAGGUCUCUCUCCAAGGUGCGGUAGCCUGGCCGACGUUUCAGUGUAGACUGGAUAUAAACUGAUCUCUUGGAGCCUGCUAGACACCACACAAUGAAACAAUAUGGUAAUGCUUAUCCUGGGACGUAUCACUUUCAGCACAGAGGAGCAAUACGAGGCUUUUUAAAAGAUUAGUAUAAAAAUGUGAAGUUCCACAAUGAUUCUCUGCAACCUGAAGUGGGUCAACAUUUUGGGAAACAGGCUUAUUUCCUUUCUUGUUGAUAGAUGAGGAGAUCGAUGCCACUUUUAUAUAUGUCCUUUUAGUAUGAUGCAACAGAUGUGUGUAAUCUGUACAAAAAUAGAAAUGUAUAAACAAGUUCUGGUUUUACAGGGAGUUGCGUGCUGGGACUACUUCUUGUCCAGGCCCUGGGACUUUCUGGACUCUUUUAAUCGCAGAGAGUUUGUCAGGCGGCCAUCGAAGUCUUCAAAGAGUCUCCGUGCCUGGCAUAUAAAACUAUAGCUUCUCUUUUACAUUUUUACAGUUCUGUUUUUGCACCAUUUAAAACAAAUGUUAUAUACUAUAACCUGUUAAUAAUAUUUUAUGGUGGUGGAUUGUCAUCAGUCCAGCCAUGAACUUUGUACAGACAUUCAUGGUCCCCAGAUGAUGAAUCCUACUGUGUUCGAUGAUCCACUGACUCUUCAUCUAGCACCAUCAUCAGGUUGAUUUGACCAAUACUUUGUGCUUACGUACAUCUCCACACAGCUGCUAGCAUGACUGUAGACUCUCAGUCUUGGAUGGACCAGACAUUUGCAUCAAUCAGCUCAUGUAGAUCUUGGCAAGAAAGUGAAAGCCUAGAACCCAAACUGUAGAACUGUUUCUUUAGAAGGGUCGCACUGGGUAUAAAUAAUGGGUAGUUCAUGUCUCACAGCAGUGUUUCUCAAAAUUCAAACCACAUUUCUGACAAGCAUGAUUGUUAAGAGGAUGUUGCUAGGUGUUUGUUUCCACUGGCUUUUCAAAGCCAAAGCUUUCAAAGUGCUUUAUAGCAAUACAGCAGAUUCCUCAACAAAUCUGAUCUUGCUCUUUCUGUUACUAAUAAAUCAUUCAACUAUUUUACAAUUAAUAGAUUAGAUUUAGUCUCUAAAAUGUUAGAAAAUUGCGAUAAAAGCCCUUCACCAUUUUUUCGAGGCGACGUCUUUCAAUUUCUAAUUUUGUCCAACCAAUAGACUAAUCGUUUAUUCAAUUUAGUUAAAGCCAGCAAAAUUAUUAGCACCCAGCAGCCCUCUUUAGAAUGACAGACAACUUUUGCGGAGGCAUGGUUAGGUCCGACCAUCCUCUAUUGGAGGAAAUAAUUUGUAUCCCUUUUGGGAGGAGGAGCAGGUCUCAUGGGGGUAAAAAGCACUAAUUUUAAAUUUUCUUUUGUUCCGAGUGUAAUAAAUGUGCUUAAUUUGCAGUAAACCUUAACUGCACUGCUAUGCAGCAUUGGCAUUCCAAUGGUUAAACUAGACACAUUUUUUUUGUUGUUGUUAAUUCUAACUGUUGUGAUUAAUGUCCCAUGUCCUCUUGUAUGUUGCGUUUGUUUUUUUACCCUUUAAUGCAAAUCAAAUUUCCAUCGAACUGAAUCUGAACUUCAACCGAAAUUUACAAUGACACAAAACAGAGAAAAGGUUCCACUAUAUACAUUUAAAAAAGGAAGUGUGGAAAAUCCCCUCCCACUGUAACCCUCUUCUACCUGCCUAACUGCUUCCUAGAUGGGCGGAGCCCCAGAAUCCAUACAGGCAGCCAGCUCACCUGUGGGAACAAGGAAGCUGACUGUGGAGCUUUAAUAGUUUGAUGUGUGUAUAAUAUAUGAUGUGUACGUUUAUUUUGUCCGGUUUAAAAUGUAUAUAUAGCAGGUUUAUUAGCUCAUGAUUUAUUUACUGUCCUGAUUAAGUUUCAGUAGUGGUUGCGUUAUUGCUUCAUUCUUAAGUUUAGGUUAAACUAUUUUUGGAAUCAUGAUGCCAAAAUAAUCUUAUGUUAUCAUUUUCUUUUGCUAUCAGACAAACCAGUUUAAACUACUUCCUAUUAAAAUAAUGAACUGGAA